GCCAGGCGUGGUGGCGGGCGCCUGUAGUCCCAGCUACUAGGGAGGCUGAGACAGGAGAAUUGCUUGAAUCCGGGAGGUGGAGCUUGCAGUGAGCCGAGAUCACGCCACUGCACUCCAGCCUGGGUGACAGAGCAAGACUCUGUCUCAA
Molecule: small RNA, 148 nt
Filed under: Pongo abelii (Sumatran orangutan)
Lineage: Eukaryota; Metazoa; Chordata; Mammalia; Primates; Hominidae
Description: Metazoan signal recognition particle RNA (ENSPPYG00000038604.1)
Source: Rfam by way of RNAcentral